GACGAACGCUGGCGGCGUGCUUAACACAUGCAAGUCGAACGAAGAGCGAUGGAAGCUUGCUUCUAUCAAUCUUAGUGGCGAACGGGUGAGUAACGCGUAAUCAACCUGCCCUUCAGAGGGGGACAACAGUUGGAAACGACUGCUAAUACCGCAUACGAUCUAAUCUCGGCAUCGAGGAUAGAUGAAAGGUGGCCUCUACAUGUAAGCUAUCACUGAAGGAGGGGAUUGCGUCUGAUUAGCUAGUUGGAGGGGUAACGGCCCACCAAGGCGAUGAUCAGUAGCCGGUCUGAGAGGAUGAACGGCCACAUUGUGACUGAGACACGGCCCAGACUCCUACGGGAGGCAGCAGUGGGGAAUCUUCCGCAAUGGACGAAAGUCUGACGGAGCAACGCCGCGUGAGCGAUGACGGCCUUCGGGUUGUAAAGCUCUGUUAAUCGGGACGAAAGGCCUUCUUGCGAAUAGUGAGAAGGAUUGACGGUACCGGAAUAGAAAGCCACGGCUAACUACGUG
RNAcentral lists this ribosomal RNA (510 nucleotides) under uncultured bacterium. Its description in RNAcentral is "partial 16S ribosomal RNA". It matches the Rfam family "Bacterial small subunit ribosomal RNA", at positions 28 to 507 of the family's 1533-position model. The record is from RNAcentral.